GCUUGGUCCUAACCUUUUUAUUUAGUGUCGCUUAACUUACACAUGCAAGUCUCCGCACCCCGGUGAAAACGCCCUCUCUAUCCUACUGGACUCAGGAGCCGGUAUCAGGCACAAAACUAUGCCCAAGACACCUAGCUUUGCCACACCCCAACGGGUACUCAGCAGUGAUUAACAUUAAAAAUUAGCGUAAGCUAGACUUAGUCAAAGCGAACAGGGCCGGCAAACCCGGUGCCAGCCGCCGCGGCUAUACCACGGGGCCCAACUUAAUAAAUAUCGGCGUAAAGCGUGAUUAAAGCAACACUUCACUAGAGUUGAACCAUGGNUGAGCCGUGAUAAGUCUGUCAUUAAGAAACCCGAAAACGAAAGUUACUCUAUUCCAUCAACUUGAACUCACGGCAGCUGGGGCACAAACUGAGAUUAGAUAG
This 425-nucleotide ribosomal RNA is filed under the name Crinia nimbus. RNAcentral's name for it is "partial 12S ribosomal RNA". The record is from RNAcentral. Lineage: Eukaryota; Metazoa; Chordata; Amphibia; Anura; Myobatrachidae.